Molecule: ribosomal RNA, 464 nt
Filed under: uncultured bacterium
Lineage: Bacteria
Description: partial 16S ribosomal RNA
Rfam family: Bacterial small subunit ribosomal RNA
Source: RNAcentral
CCUACGGGGGACUGCAGUGGGGAAUAUUGCGCAAUGGGCGAAAGCCUGACGCAGCGACGCCGCGUGAGGGAUGAAGGUCUUCGGAUCGUAAACCUCUGUCAGCAGGGAAGAACGGUCACUGUGCUAAUCAGCAGUGAAUUGACGGUACCUGCAAAGGAAGCAUCGGCUAACUCCGUGCCAGCAGCCGCGGUAAUACGGAGGAUGCGAGCGUUAUCCGGAUUUAUUGGGUUUAAAGGGUGCGCAGGCGGCCUGUUAAGUCAGCGGUAAAAGCCCGGGGCUCAACCCCGGCGAGCCGUUGAAACUGGCGGGCUGGAGUUGGAGAGAAGUACGCGGAAUGCGCGGUGUAGCGGUGAAAUGCUUAGAUAUUAGGAGGAACACCAGUGGCGAAGGCGGCUUACUGGACUGUAACUGACGUUGAGGCUCGAAAGCGUGGGGAGCAAACAGGAUUAGAUACCCCAGUAGUC